UACGAAGGGGGCUAGCGUUGUUCGGAAUUACUGGGCGUAAAGGCGCGUAGGCGGUGAUCUUUGUCAGAGGUGAAAGCCCGGGGCUCAACUCCGGAAUUGCCUUUGAAACGGGAUUGCUUGAGUCCGAGAGAGGAUGGCGGAAUUCCUAGUGUAGAGGUGAAAUUCGUAGAUAUUAGGAAGAACACCGGUGGCGAAGGGCGGCCAUCUGGCUCGGUACUGACGCUGAUGCGCGAAAAGCGUGGGGGAGCAAACAGGG
Molecule: ribosomal RNA, 256 nt
Filed under: uncultured bacterium
Lineage: Bacteria
Description: partial 16S ribosomal RNA
Rfam family: Bacterial small subunit ribosomal RNA
Source: RNAcentral